GACGAACGCUGGUGGCGUGCCUAAUACAUGCAAGUAGAACGCUGAAGAGAGGAGCUUGCUCUUCUUGGAUGAGUUGCGAACGGGUGAGUAACGCGUAGGUAACCUGCCUGGUAGCGGGGGAUAACUAUUGGAAACGAUAGCUAAUACCGCAUAAAAUUGAUUAUUGCAUGAUAAUUAAUUGAAAGAUGCAACUGCAUCACUACCAGAUGGACCUGCGUUGUAUUAGCUAGUUGGUGAGGUAACGGCUCACCAAGGCGACGAUACAUAGCCGACCUGAGAGGGUGAUCGGCCACACUGGGACUGAGACACGGCCCAGACUCCUACGGGAGGCAGCAGUAGGGAAUCUUCGGCAAUGGGGGGAACCCUGACCGAGCAACGCCGCGUGAGUGAAGAAGGUUUUCGGAUCGUAAAGCUCUGUUGUAAGAGAAGAACGGGUGUGAGAGUGGAAAGUUCACGCUGUGACGGUAUCUUACCAGAAAGGGACGGCUAACUACGUG
Molecule: ribosomal RNA, 497 nt
Filed under: uncultured bacterium
Lineage: Bacteria
Description: partial 16S ribosomal RNA
Rfam family: Bacterial small subunit ribosomal RNA
Source: RNAcentral